GACAGAGGGUGCGAACGUUGUUCCGAAUUACUGGGCGUAAAGCGCAUGUAGGCGGCAGCGCAAGUCGGGCGUGAAAUCCCACGGCUCAACCGUGGAAGUGCACUCGAAACUGCGCAGCUAGAGUCCUGGAGAGGAAGGUGGAAUGCUUGGUGUAGAGGUGAAAUUCGUAGAUAUCAAGCGGAACACCGGUGGCGAAGGCGGCCUUCUGGACAGUGACUGACGCUGAGAUGCGAAAGCGUGGGGAGCAAACAGG
Molecule: ribosomal RNA, 253 nt
Filed under: uncultured bacterium
Lineage: Bacteria
Description: partial 16S ribosomal RNA
Rfam family: Bacterial small subunit ribosomal RNA
Source: RNAcentral